UCUGGUGGCCAUAGUGGAGAGGCAAUACCCGUUCCCAUCCCGAACACGGAAGUCAAGCUCUCUAACGCCGAUGAUACUGCCUUCGUGGUGGGAAAGUAGGUAGCUGCCAGAC
Molecule: ribosomal RNA, 112 nt
Filed under: Treponema sp.
Lineage: Bacteria; Pseudomonadati; Spirochaetota; Spirochaetia; Treponematales; Treponemataceae
Also listed under: 1 other name
Source: RNAcentral